CUCUCCUCCUCCUCCUAAAGUUGUUCCUCUACCCUCCACUCUCUCCCCUAACCUCCUAAAGGUGUUCCUCUCCCUCCACUCUCUCCUCCUAACCUCCUAAAGAUGUUCCUCUACCCUCCACUCUCUCCUCCUAACCUCCUAAAGAUGUUCCUCUACCCUCCACUCUCUCCUCCUAACCUCCUAAAGAUGUUCCUCUACCCUCCACUCUCUCCUCCUAACCUCCUAAAGUCGUUCCUCUACCGUCCACUCUCUCCUCCUAACCUCCUAAAGUUGUUCCUCUCCCCUCCACUCUCUCUCCUCCUAAAGAUGUCCCUCUACCCUCCACUCUCUCUCCUCCUAAAGAUGUCCCUCUACCCUCCACUCUCUCCUCCUAACCUCCUAAAGUUGUUCCUCUCCCCUCCACUCUCUCUCCUCCUAAAGUUGUUCCUCUCCCUCCACUCUCUCUCCUCCUAAAGAUGUUCCUCUCCCCUCCACUCUCUCUCCUCCUAAAGUUGUUCCUCUACCCUCCACUCUCUCUCCUCCUAAAGUUGUUCCUCUCCCCUCCACUCUCUCCUCCUAACCUCCUAAAGUUGUUCCUCUCCCCUCCACUCUCUCCUCCUAACCUCCUAAAGUUGUUCCUCUCCCCUCCACUCUCUCUCCUCCUAACCUCCUAAAGUCGUUCCUCUCCCCUCCACUCUCUCCUCCUAAAGAUGUCCCUCUACCCUCCACUCUCUCUCCUCCUAAAGUUGUUCCUCUCCCCUCCACUCUCUCUCCUCCUAAAGUUAUUCCUCUCCCCUCCACUCUCUCCUCUCCUCCUAAAGUUGUUCCUCUACCGUCCACUCUCUCCUCCUAACCUCCUAAAGUUGUUCCUCUCCCCUCCACUCUCUCUCCUCCACUAACCUCCUAAAGUUGUUCCUCUCCGUCCACUCUCUCCUCCUAACCUCCUAAAGUUGUUCCUCUCCCCUCCACUCUCUCUCCUCCUCCUAAAGUUGUUCCUCUCCCCUCCACUCUCUCUCCUCCUCCUCCUAAAGUUGUUCCUCUCUCUCCUCCUAAAGUUGUUCCUCUACCGUCCACUCUCUCCUCCUAACCUCCUAAAGUUGGUCCUCUCCCCUCCACUCUCUCCUCCUAAAGUUGUUCCUCUCCCCUCCACUCUCUCUCCUCCUAAAGUUGUUCCUCUACCCUCCACUCUCUCUCCUCCUAAAGUUGUUCCUCUCUCUCCUCCUAAAGUACAUAGUGCUUCUUUGAUGGCUUUAGGUCACUUGUGAAGAUCUGUUUCUGUCUCACUUGUUUCCGUUUCUUUUUUUUUUAUGUACAGUAGAUAUGUAUUAUAUAAACUGUAUUUACAUCAUUACUCUGAUACGACGACUACUAUUGCUUUACAUGAGCCGGACACUGCGUCACUACAUGUGGUUCCUUCAAUAAGUCAGUGUUAUGUCCAUGUCAGACACUGGUGCUCUGUUGUUGUUGUUGUUGUUGUUGUUGUAAUGCUAAAGGCGAAAAACUAACCAUUACAAGUCCCUUCUCACAAAACAUUGUCAACUUCCUCCCAGACUAUCCCAUUUUAAAAUAAAAUAGCCAUUUGGAUAAUGUGCAACUGUACUGGGAACAUGACCAGUGGUACAUGUCUAUUUCAGCCAGUCCCAGCCCCCUGGAGAUGGGAUGAGCUGGGAGGGGCUGGGAGGAGAUGGAAGGGGCUGGGAGGAGAUGGAAGGGGCUGGGAGGAGUUGGAAGGGGCUGGGUGGAGAUGGAAGGGGCUGGGAGGAGAUGGAAGGGGCUGGGAG
This is a long non-coding RNA of Oncorhynchus tshawytscha (Chinook salmon), 1760 nucleotides long. Lineage: Eukaryota; Metazoa; Chordata; Actinopteri; Salmoniformes; Salmonidae. The record is from Ensembl.